This 285-nucleotide unclassified non-coding RNA is filed under the name fungal sp. Its description in RNAcentral is "partial internal transcribed spacer region". The stretch from base 1 to 46 matches the Rfam family "Eukaryotic small subunit ribosomal RNA", at positions 1786 to 1831 of the family's 1831-position model. The record is from RNAcentral. Lineage: Eukaryota; Fungi.
AAGUCGUAACAAGGUUUCCGUAGGUGAACCUGCGGAAGGAUCAUUAACACAAUUUUACUGUGAUAAAUCCGUUGAAUUCUCGCAUUCAAUGGUAUCCACCCCAUUAUUGAUGAACUUUUCUAGAUGUUAAAACAUAGAGCUAGUCUUUAUGUUUUUAACAUUCUAAACCUUUUUCUAUAUCCACACAAAUUUAAACCCCUUUUACAACAUGUAUUAGACUGAAAUGAAAAUUUUCUAUCAAAAAAUUGAUAAAAACAACUUUUAACAACGGAUAUCUUGGCUCUC